CCUGAUCCAGCCAUACCGCGUGGGUGAAGAAGGCCUUCGGGUUGUAAAGCCCUUUUGUUGGGAAAGAAAUCCAGCCGGCUAAUACCAUGGUUGGGAUGACGGUACCCAAAGAAUAAGCACCGGCUAACUUCGUGCCAGCAGCCGCGGUAAUACGAAGGGUGCAAGCGUUACUCGGAAUUACUGGGCGUAAAGCGUGCGUAGGUGGUUAUUUAAGUCCGUUGUGAAAGCCCUGGGCUCAACCUGGGAACUGCAGUGGAUACUGGAUGACUAAAUGUGUAGAGGGUAGCGGAAUUCCUGUGUAGAGUGAAAUGCGUAGAGAUCAGGAGAACAUCCAUGCGAAGGCAGCUACCUGGACCAACAUUGACACUGAGGCACGAAGCGUGGGGAGCAACAGGAUUAGAUACCCUGGUAUCCACGCCCUAAACGAUGCGAACUGGAUGUUGGGUGCAAUUUGGCACGCAGUAUCGAAGCUAACGCGUUAAGUUCGCCGCCUGGGGGAUGGUCGCAAGACUGAACUCAAGAAUUGACGG
RNAcentral lists this ribosomal RNA (530 nucleotides) under uncultured marine bacterium. RNAcentral describes it as "bacterial SSU rRNA". It matches the Rfam family "Bacterial small subunit ribosomal RNA", at positions 382 to 916 of the family's 1533-position model. The record is from RNAcentral.